UCCUUUGUGAUACUGGAGAAGGUCCC
RNAcentral lists this non-coding RNA (26 nucleotides) under Rattus norvegicus (Norway rat). Lineage: Eukaryota; Metazoa; Chordata; Mammalia; Rodentia; Muridae. The record is from RNAcentral.